This 34-nucleotide ribosomal RNA is filed under the name Fusarium sporotrichioides. Its description in RNAcentral is "partial 28S ribosomal RNA". The record is from RNAcentral. Lineage: Eukaryota; Fungi; Ascomycota; Sordariomycetes; Hypocreales; Nectriaceae.
UUGACCUCGGAUCAGGUAGGAAUACCCGCGAACC